GGUAGUGUAGCAUAGUGGUUUGGGCAUCAGACUAUAACUCUGGAGACCAGAAUUCAGAUUCCUGCUCAGUCA
Molecule: transfer RNA, 72 nt
Filed under: Anolis carolinensis (green anole)
Lineage: Eukaryota; Metazoa; Chordata; Lepidosauria; Squamata; Anolidae
Rfam family: tRNA
About the family: Transfer RNA (tRNA) molecules are approximately 80 nucleotides in length.
Source: Rfam by way of RNAcentral